Molecule: ribosomal RNA, 450 nt
Filed under: uncultured bacterium
Lineage: Bacteria
Description: bacterial SSU rRNA
Rfam family: Bacterial small subunit ribosomal RNA
Source: RNAcentral
UCCAGACUCCUACGGGAGGCAGCAGUGGGGCCUCUUGGGCAAUGUUCGCCCGCCUGACCCCGCCCCGCCGCGUGCCGGAAGAAGGCUUUCGGGUUGUAAACUUCUUUUGUCAGGGACGAAGCAAGUGACGGUCCCUGACGAAUACGCCACGGCUAACUACGUGCCAGCAGCCGCGGUAAUACGUAGGUGGCAAGCGUUAUCCGGAUUUAUUGGGGGGAAAGGGCGGGGAGGCGGGAAUGCAAGUCAGAUGUGAAAACUAUGGGCUCAACCCAGAGCCUGCAUUGGAAACUGUAUUUCUUGAGUGCGGGAGAGGCAAGCGGAAUUCCGUGUGGAGCGGUGAAAUGCGGAGAGAUACGGAGGAACACCAGUGGCGAAGGCGGAUUGCUGGACAGGAACUGACGCGGGGGCGCGAAAGCGGGGGGAGCAAACAGGAGGAGAUACCCGAGUAAG